Molecule: ribosomal RNA, 468 nt
Filed under: uncultured bacterium
Lineage: Bacteria
Description: partial 16S ribosomal RNA
Rfam family: Bacterial small subunit ribosomal RNA
Source: RNAcentral
GACGAACGCUGGCGGCGUGCUUAACACAUGCAAGUCGAACGGAAAGGCCCUGCUUUUGUGUGGUGCUCGAGUGGCGAACGGGUGAGUAACACGUGAGUAACCUGCCCUUGACUUUGGGAUAACUUCAGGAAACUGGGGCUAAUACCGGAUAGGAGCUCCUGCUGCAUGGUGUGGGUUGGAAAGUUUCGGCGGUUGGGGAUGGACUCGCGGCUUAUCAGCUUGUUGGUGUGGUAGUGGCUUACCAAGGCUUUGACGGGUAGCCGGCCUGAGAGGGUGACCGGCCACAUUGGGACUGCGAGACGGCCCAGACUCCUACGGGAGGCAGCAGUGGGGAAUAUUGCACAAUGGGCGGAAGCCUGAUGCAGCAACGCCGCGUGCGGGAUGACGGCCUUCGGGUUGUAAACCGCUUUCGCCUGUGACGAAGCGUGAGUGACGGUAAUGGGUAAAGAAGCACCGGCUAACUACGUG